GUUAAGAUGGAUGGAAUUGCCCACUGUGUGCCAGGCACUGCCAGACAUUAGGAGAGGUCGAACCAAGAUUCAAACUCUGGACUUGACCACAAAUCCAGCUCUUUCUUACAUGAAGUCCGGAGGCUGAGGCGGAAGGAUCUCCAGAAACUACGGGGUUGAAGAACGGCCUGGGCAGUAUUCCGAGCAGUGAGAAUUUCGAGCAGUGAGACCCUACUUUAAACCGAGAAACAAAAAAACAA
Peromyscus maniculatus bairdii (prairie deer mouse) is the source of this 239-nucleotide non-coding RNA. NCBI's taxonomy places the organism in Eukaryota, Metazoa, Chordata, Mammalia, Rodentia, Cricetidae. The record is from RefSeq and is a predicted model, not a curated record.